This 429-nucleotide ribosomal RNA is filed under the name uncultured archaeon. RNAcentral's name for it is "bacterial SSU rRNA". It matches the Rfam family "Archaeal small subunit ribosomal RNA", at positions 474 to 903 of the family's 1478-position model. The record is from RNAcentral.
UACCUGCAGCUCAAGUGGUGAUCAUUAUUAUUGGGCCUAAAACGUCCGUAGCCGGUUUAGUAAAUGCCUGGGUAAAUCGUGUAGCUUAACUAUACGACUUCCGGGUAGACUGCUAAACUUGAGACCGGGAGAAGCUAGAGGUACUCCUGGGGUAGAGGUGAAAUUCUGUAAUCCUAGGGGGACCACCAGUGGCGAAGGCGUCUAGCUAGAACGGGUCUGACGGUGAGGGACGAAGCCCUGGGGCACAAACCGGAUUAGAUACCCGGGUAGUCCAGGGUGUAAACGCUGCUUGCUUGAUGUUAGUUGGGCUCCGAGCCCAACUAGUGUCGGAGAGAAGCUGUUAAGCAAGCUGCCUGGGAAGUACGGCCGCAAGGCUGAAACUUAAAGGAAUUGGCGGGGGAGCACCACAAGGGGUGAAGCUUGCGGUUU